RNAcentral lists this ribosomal RNA (498 nucleotides) under uncultured bacterium. RNAcentral describes it as "partial 16S ribosomal RNA". It matches the Rfam family "Bacterial small subunit ribosomal RNA", at positions 28 to 507 of the family's 1533-position model. The record is from RNAcentral.
GACGAACGCUGGCGGCGUGCCUAAUACAUGCAAGUCGAGCGGACGAAUCGAAAGCUUGCUUUUGAUUCGUUAGCGGCGGACGGGUGAGUAACACGUGGGCAACCUGCCCUGUAGACGGGGAUAACACCGAGAAAUCGGUGCUAAUACCGGAUAACACGAAAUGUCGCAUGACGUUUCGUUGAAGGACGGCGCAAGCUGUCGCUACAGGAUGGGCCCGCGGCGCAUUAGCUAGUUGGUGAGGUAACGGCUCACCAAGGCGACGAUGCGUAGCCGACCUGAGAGGGUGAUCGGCCACACUGGGACUGAGACACGGCCCAGACUCCUACGGGAGGCAGCAGUAGGGAAUCUUCCGCAAUGGACGAAAGUCUGACGGAGCAACGCCGCGUGAGCGAAGAAGGCCUUCGGGUCGUAAAGCUCUGUUGUUAGGGAAGAACAAGUAACGCAGUAACUGGCGUUACCGUGACGGUACCUAACGAGAAAGCCACGGCUAACUACGUG